This 31-nucleotide small RNA is filed under the name Arabidopsis thaliana (thale cress). Its description in RNAcentral is "ATSL017100". Lineage: Eukaryota; Viridiplantae; Streptophyta; Magnoliopsida; Brassicales; Brassicaceae. The record is from RNAcentral.
AAAUAUUUGUCCCACAAAUACAUAAUCUUCU